CCCUUAGAUGUUCUGGGCCGCACGCGCGCUACACUGAUGAAUUCAACGAGCUCCUAACCUAGGCCGAAGGGUCCGGGUAAUCUUUGAAAUUUCAUCGUGAUGGGGAUAGAUUAUUGCAAUUAUUAAUCUUCAACGAGGAAUUCCUAGUAAGCGCGAGUCAUCAGCUCGCGUUGAUUACGUCCCUGCCCUUUGUACACACCGCCCGUCGCUCCUACCGAUUGAAUGGUCCGGUGAAAUGUUCGGAUCGCGGCAAAUCGGACGGGUAACCGUCAGGUUCGCUGCGAGAAGUUCAUUAAACCUUAUCAUUUAGAGGAAGGAGAAGUCGUAACA
This 330-nucleotide ribosomal RNA is filed under the name uncultured eukaryote. Its description in RNAcentral is "partial 18S ribosomal RNA". It matches the Rfam family "Eukaryotic small subunit ribosomal RNA", at positions 1470 to 1796 of the family's 1831-position model. The record is from RNAcentral.